This 97-nucleotide non-coding RNA is filed under the name Photobacterium ganghwense. Its description in RNAcentral is "TPP sequence". It matches the Rfam family "TPP riboswitch aptamer (THI element)". From Rfam's summary of the family: Vitamin B(1) in its active form thiamin pyrophosphate (TPP) is an essential coenzyme that is synthesised by coupling of pyrimidine and thiazole moieties in bacteria. The previously detected thiamin-regulatory element, thi box was extended, resulting in a new, highly conserved RNA secondary structure, the THI element, which is widely distributed in eubacteria and also occurs in some archaea. Analysis of operon structures identified a large number of new candidate thiamin-regulated genes, mostly transporters, in various prokaryotic organisms. Lineage: Bacteria; Pseudomonadati; Pseudomonadota; Gammaproteobacteria; Vibrionales; Vibrionaceae. The record is from Rfam by way of RNAcentral.
GACUGUUAGUCGGGGAGCCUUGUGCUGAGACCACUCUGUGGGACCCGUUGAACCUGAUCCAUUUAGCAAUGGCGUAGGGAACUAGCUGAAUAUCAGA